This 154-nucleotide ribosomal RNA is filed under the name uncultured fungus. Its description in RNAcentral is "partial 5.8S ribosomal RNA". It matches the Rfam family "5.8S ribosomal RNA". From Rfam's summary of the family: 5.8S ribosomal RNA (5.8S rRNA) is a component of the large subunit of the eukaryotic ribosome. Lineage: Eukaryota; Fungi. The record is from RNAcentral.
AAGUUUCAACAACGGAUCUCUUGGCUCUCGCAUCGAUGAAGAACGCAGCGAAAUGCGAUAAGUAAUGUGAAUUGCAGAAUUCAGUGAAUCAUCAAAUCUUUGAACGCACCUUGCGCUCCUUGGUAUUCCUCGGAGCAUGCCUGUUUGAGUAUCA